RNAcentral lists this long non-coding RNA (725 nucleotides) under Triticum aestivum (bread wheat). Its description in RNAcentral is "long non-coding RNA (TAES_LNC008048)". Lineage: Eukaryota; Viridiplantae; Streptophyta; Magnoliopsida; Poales; Poaceae. The record is from RNAcentral.
UCCAUAAUCAUGUUCUUGGGCUCUGCUUUGCCAUGUGCGUACCAAGGUGCCUGAAACCCCAAACUUAUUAUCUCCCAAAUAAUUACCAACCAAACAGGAAGACGACGAAGGAUUCCAAUAGCUAAAUUAAUGUACAAGCAAGCAUUAAUAGCAAUACUUCAACACGAGAAAUUGGAGAUUAAAAAGAGGAGUGAUAAUAUGUAGUAUCAUUUACCUCAGACUGAAGCUUGGUUAAGAAGAGUGCAGUCACCAAUUAAGCUUGGUUCCUCGUAGCAGCUAGAAAUCACUUCAUCAAUCGGUGGCACAUCACACUUUUUUUUAACAUCACUCCACUAUGGCACUCCUUCAAAGAAUUAUUAUGUCUGGACCACAACGCCAGCGAAACCCAUCCUGCCCAGCAACCGUGAGAUGAAGUGAGUAGUUAAGUAAAGAUAAAUCAAGGAAUGAGAGUAUAUGCCGACAUCUGUGCUCUGUAGCGAGGCCAGUCUCCAUCAUAGAGGUCGCACACUCUGUGGAGCCCGUUACCACGUCAAGCACUUAGCAUGUGGUGUCGUUGGCCUGUCCGGGCGUCCUACGAAUGUCGACUCAACGUAGGAAAAAAACGGACCACUAAACCCCCGAUACAUGGGCAGCAAAGAACACGUCAAGAUCAAGCGAAAACCAAUAAGAUCAUAUCACGAUGAGGAGAGGCUGUGCCACUACCUUGUCAGGUUAUAUGUCAACGA